UACGGAGGGAGCUAGCGUUAUUCGGAAUUACUGGGCGUAAAGCGCACGUAGGCGGCUUUGUAAGUAAGAGGUGAAAGCCUGGAGCUCAACUCCAGAAUUGCCUUUUAGACUGCAUCGCUUGAAUCAUGGAGAGGUGAGUGGAAUUCCGAGUGUAGAGGUGAAAUUCGUAGAUAUUCGGAAGAACACCAGUGGCGAAGGCGGCUCACUGGCCCAUUACUGACGCUGAGGCACGAAAGCGUGGGGAGCAAACAGG
RNAcentral lists this ribosomal RNA (253 nucleotides) under uncultured bacterium. Its description in RNAcentral is "partial 16S ribosomal RNA". It matches the Rfam family "Bacterial small subunit ribosomal RNA", at positions 524 to 776 of the family's 1533-position model. The record is from RNAcentral.